AUUCGGACCGUUCUGAAAACCGCCGUUCUAGAGCCCGCAGCUCUGCCGCCCUCUCCAAAAGUUCCGUUUGGUCAGGGGGUGCGAUGUGGUUGCACUAUAUCGUAAAUUCUACGUUCCAUGUUUUUUUCAGACUGGAAAAGUACGUCUGCACUUCGCACGCUCCUUUCAAGAAGAAGAGGUCGGGUUGACCGAUAACGUG
This 199-nucleotide non-coding RNA is filed under the name Ctenophora environmental sample. The record is from RNAcentral. Lineage: Eukaryota; Metazoa; Ctenophora.